CAUUGAAAGUAUGGUUUUUGAAGGUACAAAGGAUUUUAUGACUACGUAAAAUUGAAAGGAGUGGAUGUUGGUCAACCGGUGGGGUUUGAUGUUCUUGUUGAUGGAACAGUUCUGACGGGUGCAUUCUUCUAAUUGACCAAUCUUAGUACAUGAUUACACUAUCUUUGAUACUUUGUCAAAGAUGAUAUAGAACCGUGUCUUUUGUUUUUUAAUAGAAUUGAACCCAAUCAACAAUGUUUUUGCUUUUUAUAAAGGGUCUGGACUAUCGAGCUCUACAGCUUUUGUUGUUCUUCAACAAUUGCUAUUUUGGUUGCUUUUGGUGUGAACUUCCCAAAGUUCUAAUGGAUCUUCACAUGUUCAGCUAACAAAAAUGAUGCCUGAACUUUUAAAGUUCUUAAAAAAAUGGCUCAACUUAAGUGUGAAUGUGAAAGAUAGAUUGGAACACAGUCUGGGGGAAUGGAUCAGGUAAUCUCUGUCGUGGCCAAAGCUGGGUGUGCAGAGCUGAUUGAUUUUAACCCAAUCUGUACAACAGAUGUGCAAUUUUCUGCUGGUGGGACAUUUGUAAUAGCUCAUUCUUUGGCUGAGUCUCAAAAGGCUGUCACUACCGCUACAAACUAUAUUAAAAGGGUUUUUGAAUGCCAUUUGGCAUCAGACAGUGUUUUUCAACUUGAGAUUGUAUAAUUUCAUUUUUAAUACUUAUUUGCAUCCCCUGAGCAUAAAUGGAUUAUUAGAACUAUGGUGGUGCCAUGGAUGGAGGUUGAGGGUGGGAUGUAGGAGAUGUUACUAGGUAGUCUAAGACCACCAAUUGUUUAGGGUCUCAAACAAUCUCUAC
This is a non-coding RNA of Cajanus cajan (pigeon pea), 832 nucleotides long. The record is from RefSeq and is a predicted model, not a curated record. Lineage: Eukaryota; Viridiplantae; Streptophyta; Magnoliopsida; Fabales; Fabaceae.